AGGUGAACACGAUCACAGAUAAUCACUUAGCGGCCAUCAGUGCUCCUUGUAUAUAAUGGAAGUGUAGAUUUUAGACAUCUGAAAAAUAAUUAAUGAACACAGAAAAGGUACGCUGCGAAUUACUUCUGACCCUAAGAGCGGUUCCUUUUCAUUUUCUUACAUAUAUGUUUUAUAUUGUUGUUUCCGCUAUGCGAGAAGGAGUAGCCGUCACACUUAUGAGGUGACCACGUCUCUUUCUUUUAUUUUAAUUUUAAUAAAGAAAGGAAUUUAUUCUUGCCCGCAGUUCUUUUAUCAAGCGACGUGACAGUUCAGUGUUGCCUUCAUGUACCACUGACGCAAUGCAGAGUCAGGGUUAAUUCGCAUUGAUUGUUCUGAAACUCAUUCUUCGAAUAAUGACCAUGUGAGUGCUACGCUGUAAAAAGUACGUAUUGCAAGGCCGCAAAGAAUAAUGUUGUAUUGGGUCCGCCAACAGCUAGUCGAAUGAAAAUUCGCUAUCUAUGAAUACAUAACAAUACACUCGCACUUCAUGUACUCUAACACCAUCGUAUAGCCUCUAUCUCUGCCGGCAGCUCUAGAGAUACUGUGCAUUCGGCAAUGCUUUCUUUACAUGCAUUGUUCUCUUCCAUGAAAUAUUGCAUGAAAAGUACAAUAGCCUGAACCAUGCAGGCCAGUAUCUGAAAAGUAACUGAAAUUCACAAAAUGAAUAAUAAAAUGAGAAUGCAGUGGCGGGCUGUCCAAGCAAAACCAUGAUUCAAAAAGAGGAGGAAAGUCAAACCGGUAAUAUUUCUCUAUUAUCGAUUGGCCAGCAUUGUUUAAAGAAGUAUUUAAUGUAAUGUCCCUACAGGCUGCGACACUACUUUCUGUAUGACCGAAAGCUAUGGCGAAGAUGCACAUGUGGAACAUCUUGGUCAUUUUGACCGUAUUGGCCCUCCUGUCCACAUUUCAACAAGGAGUCGAUGCAGCUAAACUUCGACGUUCAACUGGGGGGACUGGUGGAAGGGGUGGUCCUAGGCAGGUCACAAAUACUCCGAGAACUCCUCCUCCAUGUAACACAAGGCCGCAUGGCCGCAGAUAACAUCUGUGCACGGACAACAACGUUUACAAGAAUUCAGCGAAGAUCUCCGUGCAGCAAACACCAACAGGAGAUGAAGUGCAUCAUCGCUGAAGAAACACGCUACAGAUUAUGCGAAGAAUGGCUCUAAUAUCUUGACACCACACUGAGGAAAACGACCCAUAGAUGCUCAGCUAAUACUGCCUAACUAUCAGUUAUUCUGCGCCAGUUGACUUUGUUUAAAUAAUGUUGUAUAAGAUAAAAGGAUUUUCUCUUUUCUUUUCUAUCUAGAGUUUUUACAGACUGAGAUUGCCUAAUCAUAAAAAUUAUUUUAUUAGAUAUUGGACUGCCAUCUGUUACCGCUUCUGCUUGUAAUACAUUUUUGUUUCUCCUUCGUUUACGAAAAUGUAAUAAAAGAACGAACUCUCA
RNAcentral lists this long non-coding RNA (1480 nucleotides) under Dermacentor andersoni. Its description in RNAcentral is "uncharacterized LOC126525778". Lineage: Eukaryota; Metazoa; Arthropoda; Arachnida; Ixodida; Ixodidae. The record is from RNAcentral.